This is a non-coding RNA of Ceratobasidium sp. 392, 103 nucleotides long. Lineage: Eukaryota; Fungi; Basidiomycota; Agaricomycetes; Cantharellales; Ceratobasidiaceae. The record is from the annotation of a GenBank genome assembly.
UCCGGUAUGGUGUAACGGCUAACAUUGUCGCCUUUCAGUAUUUACGUUCGAGUUACGUAAUUUACUCGCGCGACGGCUCGGGGUUCGAUUCCCCGUACCGGAG